RNAcentral lists this long non-coding RNA (359 nucleotides) under Homo sapiens (human). Its description in RNAcentral is "HSALNT0154198". The record is from RNAcentral. Lineage: Eukaryota; Metazoa; Chordata; Mammalia; Primates; Hominidae.
AGUAAGAUGAUGGAUAGGAAGGUGUCAGGUAACUCUGUACGUCUCUCUGCCCUGCUGGAUGCUGGGGCAUUAGAGACGAACAGGAUAAGGUUUUUAUCCCCACAUGGGCGGUGGGAGAUCCUCAAAAUAUUGACGUUUCCCUAGCUGGCCAGAUCCUCAUGCAACCCCCUAGAACAAUUACAGCAAUAAUAGAUGUUAUUUAUUGAACAUUUAUUAAAUGCCAAAUAAUAUUCCAAGAGCUUACUCUGUAUUACGUUAUUGACUUCCUACAACAGCAGAGUAGGAUACAGAUGAGGGAACUAAGGUCUAGUGAGAAAUGAAACGAAUUGUUCAGGAUCGGUGGUGUAGUGGGAUUAAAA